GAAAUGCGAUAAGUAGUGUGAAUUGCAGAAUUCAGUGAAUCAUCGAAUCUUUGAACGCACAUUGCGCCCCUUGGUAUUCCAUGGGGCAUGCCUGUUCGAGCGUCAUUUGUACCCUCAAGCUUUGCUUGGUGUUGGGCGUCUUGUCGGACUAUCCGACUCGCCUCAAAUACAUUGGCAGCCGGCACUUUGGCCUAGGAGCGCAGCACAUUUUGCGAUCGUAAGCCGUUGUGACAGCAUCCAUAAGAUUUAUUUUACCACGUUUGACCUCGGAUCAGGUAGGGAUACCCGCUGAACUUAA
RNAcentral lists this unclassified non-coding RNA (298 nucleotides) under uncultured Pleosporales. RNAcentral's name for it is "sequence contains ITS1". The stretch from base 1 to 105 matches the Rfam family "5.8S ribosomal RNA", at positions 50 to 154 of the family's 154-position model. Lineage: Eukaryota; Fungi; Ascomycota; Dothideomycetes; Pleosporales. The record is from RNAcentral. RNAcentral also lists the same sequence under 1 other name.